Molecule: long non-coding RNA, 1981 nt
Filed under: Nicotiana benthamiana
Lineage: Eukaryota; Viridiplantae; Streptophyta; Magnoliopsida; Solanales; Solanaceae
Description: long non-coding RNA (NBEN_LNC009738)
Source: RNAcentral
AAAGAAUAAGAAGAAAUAAAAAUACUGAAAACAUGAGCAAAAGAAAUGAAACAUCCCAAAAUGGGUCAGUGGUUAAUCUACACUAGGCUAAGAGGCUUUAGGCUGGGAAGAACUAGGUGCUUGGUUUUUGAGUUGGAGGAAAACAUCCCAAACCGGGUCGCUGCUUGGUCUACACUAGGCUAGGAGGCUUUAGGCUGGGAAGAACUAGGUGAUUGGUUUUGACUUGGAGGAAUUUCAGCACACCUUGAAGAAUGCCAUCAUUCUUCUCUUUUUCUCUUGCCAAAUCAGUUCUGAAAGCAUCUCUCUUAGUCUCCAUCUUAACCAACAUCUUCUUCAGUCUUUCAAUCUUAGCAUCCUUAACCUCACUUUCUUGCACCAAGGCACUGACCUUGCUAUUCACUGGUACCUUUUUGGAUGAACUAGGUUCUUUUGGAGUGACAUUGACUUCAUAAUCGCAAGCAAGCAUAGUAUUAACCCAAAAAUGAUCCAUGCUUGUACUAACCACCUUUUCUUAGGUAUAUUAAACGUUGACUUCAUAAUCGCAGGCAAAUAGAGUGUUAACCCAAAAAAUGAUCAAUGCUUGUACUAACCUCCAACCUUUUUUUAGGUACAUUGAAACAUGCAAACACAAUUGAGAAUGAAGCCAUAUGGAAUGGUAUGAGUUUUGGUGCCAUUGAUAACUCUAUCAAUAAGCUGGAUUAUAACUUUCUGUCACUUUCUUCAGCAGGUCUGCGAGGUUUUCCUCUACUGAUGAACCAAGUUCAUUUCCCCAAAGAACCAUUGCACAUGCGUCUUUGGCUAAACUCACAAGAGUGGGUGAAGAAUCAGCCACUCUUGUCCCCUUUCCCUUCACAGUACUCCUAGCACUCUUGGUCUUUUUUUUUAUUUUUACCACCAACUUCUCCAGAUUCCGCAGUCUCAACACUUGCUAUAGACCCUACAAAUUUAUUUUCCAAAUUUGCAGCAACUUUAGAAAUUUUCACAAAAGAAACUUUAGAAUCAAAAGAUUCAAUUUCGGAAGAUCCACUUUAUUCCACCUGAGUAGCAGACUUAAAAGAAUUUAGGUAGUUUAAUACGGUCAGGAGUCUUGAACGUAACUGGUUCACCUUUAAUGGAUAAGUUCAAAAGAACUUUGGUAUUUGAUAGGACUCUGCUCAUGAUCCAAAUAUAGUUAUUUCAAAUUAUGCAGAGUGUAGAAAACAUACCGUGUUAUCUUGUUGAACCAGGUUCUUUACUGAUAAUUCUCUUGUAUAAGUCUAAAUUUGCCAAAAUAGAGAAAAUAUCAUUAGAUAUUAAUGAGUCAAUUUAAUACAUGGAACAAGAGUGUACUGUGGAAAGUAUGAGACUGAGCAACAUUUUAUCUGACUAUACACAAUUUACAUACUUUCUAACCAAAUAUAUUUUUGUCAUUUUUCUCGUUUGACCUUGAACUAGUCCUUUUAGGUGAUCUUAAUCAUCUCUAAAUCCAACUUGUUCCUCUCAAAGUGAUCUCCACUUAAGCCUUUUGUUAAGAUGUCAGAAAUUUGCUUGUCAGCAGCACAAAACUCCACAGUGAUCAAGCCUUUCUCAUAGUUGUCCCUCAAAAAUGGUGUCUAACAUUUAUGUGCUUAGUUAUCUUAUGAUGAACCAGAUUCUUAGUCAUACUAAUAGCUCUAGUGUUAUCAUAAAAAAUAGGGAUACAACCAACUUCAAUAACAAAACCCAUCAACUGUUGCUUGAUCCACAAUAAUUGAGCACAAUCAUGAAGCAACAACAACAUACUCAGCUUCAGUAGUAGAUAAGGCCACUGAAUUUUGCUUUUUAGUAGCCCAUGGCACAACACAUGAACCAAGGAAGUGUGACAUACCUGAGGUGCUCUUCCUAUCCAUUAGGAAACAUGCAUAAUUAGCAUCAGCAUAUCCCACUUAAAAUUACUACCUUUUGAAUACCAAAGGCAAAGGUCAGUGGUGCCUUUCAAGUAUCUCAAUAUUCUCUUUACAUU